This 76-nucleotide ribozyme is filed under the name Crocodylus porosus (Australian saltwater crocodile). RNAcentral describes it as "Mammalian CPEB3 ribozyme (ENSCPRG00005014956.1)". It matches the Rfam family "Mammalian CPEB3 ribozyme". From Rfam's summary of the family: The mammalian CPEB3 ribozyme is a self cleaving RNA located in the second intron of the CPEB3 gene which belongs to a family of genes regulating messenger RNA polyadenylation. Lineage: Eukaryota; Metazoa; Chordata; Crocodylia; Crocodylidae. The record is from Rfam by way of RNAcentral.
AUUGCAAGUUUGAGGCCACAGCAGAAGUGCUCAUAGUGAGGCCCUGUCAGAGUCCAAUGAAUCUGCAAAAUCUACU